GGUCUGUCGAGGAUGUGUUCCGCGCGGCCACGCCGCAUGGAGAUUGGAGAAGAUCAUGGAAAAAUUGAGGACGGAGGAGGUCGUCAGGGUCAAGGUCUUCAGCACCCCGAGCUCAACAUGCGUCUCUUCCACAAAAUACUCGAGACUGAGAGGAGCCAGAGCUGGCGGGUGCAAGCUGUUUCUGUUCCUAAUGAGAUGUGCCAGAGCUGGCUACUGCAAGAUGUUGCUGUUCCUGCUUGUAUGUGUGUAUAAAUAAUGAAAGGUGCUUGUAUGUGAACUGAUUUCUUGUCAAGUGUGGACUGAUUUCAUGUCAAAUGUCAAUUGAAGUGCUGGCUAUUUCAAAUUUAAUGUUUUAAUUGUGUGAACCAAAGUGUACUGUGGUAACAUGUAUACUAUGUGAACUGAUCCAUGCCUACACAAUGGCUACAAAGAUCCAAUUAUGUAAAAGAUCAUCAUGAUUUAUGUGUCAAAGGAUA
Long non-coding RNA from Panicum virgatum (switchgrass), 476 nucleotides. RefSeq lists it as uncharacterized. The transcript is spliced from 2 exons. The record is from RefSeq and is a predicted model, not a curated record. NCBI's taxonomy places the organism in Eukaryota, Viridiplantae, Streptophyta, Magnoliopsida, Poales, Poaceae.